Molecule: long non-coding RNA, 264 nt
Organism: Poecile atricapillus (Black-capped chickadee)
Lineage: Eukaryota; Metazoa; Chordata; Aves; Passeriformes; Paridae
Exons: 3
Source: RefSeq, a predicted model, not a curated record
GACGGAUUUUUGUCAGAAGAGACUCCCCUCCCGGACCAGCGCUCUUCGGCAGAGGAAGGAUUCCCUGCAUCUCCUGCUCCAAUUAAGAGACUGAAACGCGCAUUGUGCUGUCUACGUGCCUUGAAUUUGGGAAGCCGGUACUUCACAGUUUGAGGGCGACUUUUUUUGUGACAAAACCUGAAUCUUUUAGGAAAACCCCUACAAGAGAAGUGGGAAGGACCUUUCCAAGUGCUGCUGACUACCUUCACCGCGGUCCGGAUCAAG